Molecule: ribosomal RNA, 416 nt
Filed under: Serratia sp. SB40
Lineage: Bacteria; Pseudomonadati; Pseudomonadota; Gammaproteobacteria; Enterobacterales; Yersiniaceae
Description: bacterial SSU rRNA
Rfam family: Bacterial small subunit ribosomal RNA
Source: RNAcentral
UCUUGACUCCAGAGCAACUUUCCAGAGAUGGAUUGCGUGCCUUCGGAGAACUCUGAGACAGGUGCUUGCAUGGCUGUCGUCAGCUCGUGUUGUGAAAUGUUGGGUUAAGUCCCGCAACGAGCGCAACCCUUAUCCUUUGUUGCCAGCGGUUCGGCCGGGAACUCAAAGGAGACUGCCAGUGAUAAACUGGAGGAAGGUGGGGAUGACGUCAAGUCAUCAUGGCCCUUACGAGUAGGGCUACACACGUGCUACAAUGGCAUAUACAAAGAGAAGCGACCUCGCGAGAGCAAGCGGACCUCAUAAAGUAUGUCGUAGUCCGGAUUGGAGUCUGCAACUCGACUCCAUGAAGUCGGAAUCGCUAGUAAUCGUAGAUCAGAAUGCUACGGUGAAUACGUUCCCGGGUCUUGUACACACCG